CCCAGCUGCAUGCUCCUUCUCUGAGCUCCUAGAGCCCUUUCUGUCUUUGCCAUUCACUAGGUACUUAGGAUCCACAACAGCUCACUCAUUUCUUUUGGUUUGUGGAGCAGAAGGAGCUCAGGGAUGAGAGUUAGAGGACAUGAGUUCCCCUUGGCCACAUUUGACUGGGUGACUUUGGGCAAGCCUAUUUAUCAUUCGGAAUUCCAGGUUUCUGGUCAGCAAGAUGGAGAUGAUUAAAGCUGCCCUACCUGCCUCACAGGUCUCUUAGGAAGAUAAUGGAGAUAAUGUACAUUGAAUGCUUUGUGAACGCUUAAAGAAAUUAACUCAGACUAUUCACUGGAAGGACAAACACUGAAGCUGAAGCUUAAAUACUCUAGCAACAUAAUGAGAAGACAGGACUCAUGGGAAAGGACAUUUCCAUGAUGCUGGGAAAUAUUGAAGGGAAAAGGAGAAGGGAAUGGCAGGGGAUGAGAUGGAGAGAUAGUGUCGGGGAACCAGUGAAUAUGAGCUUCAAGAGAGGAUAAAUGGAGGAUAAAAGGUCCUGGCAUAUGGCCCUUUGGGGUUCAUGGGAUCACAAAAAUGGUCUAUGGGAUCACAAAGGGUCAGGGAUGACCAAAUGCCUGAACCACAGCAACAAACCUUCAAAGACUUUGUUCGUGUGAGCAGUUAUUAUUUUCUGUCUGAUAUUGUUAUCAAACUUUCUACGGGCGAAUCUCAUCUCCUCUGACUCUGCUCUACCUCUACCUCCCCAGACUGUCAGUUCUAUGAGGGCAGGUCUUGUCUUCUCCUUUAAGAGCAUCUUCAAGUUGCCUUUCCUGCCUGAUAUGCCGCCCAUUGGUAUUCUGAGUCUUCUCAGAAUAUAUUCUUGGGUCUUCUCAGAGAUGCUCACGUGGUCCGAAAAGCCCUUUGCUCCACACAGGAAGGGCUUGUUCUCCUGGCCCUCUGAGCUUAUUCUCUGGAUCUUAGCAUCAUGGAGUGUCAGAGCUAGAGAAGACUUCUGAAGACAUCAGGUGCCAACUGCUUGCAGGUAGGAUGCCAAAUCCCCUUUCCCUUGGUUGACACUAAGGUUGAGAGUAGCUUCCUU
This 1084-nucleotide long non-coding RNA is filed under the name Monodelphis domestica (gray short-tailed opossum). RNAcentral's name for it is "lncRNA (ENSMODG00000031279.2)". The record is from RNAcentral. Lineage: Eukaryota; Metazoa; Chordata; Mammalia; Didelphimorphia; Didelphidae.